GUUUUUUGAAGGUAAUAUUUCUUAAGUGAUUUUUUGAAACCAUACAGAGUGUUUUGUUGUUUAAUAGUAUUUGGGAGUUCCAUUCACACAUUGCUCUAUACCUUACUGAACGUUGAAUUGAUUUGGUUUUUACUAUAGGUAAAAUAAAACUACCUCCUACUGCAUGCCUCGUUGGAUAAUAAUGUGUAUCUGUACUAAAGGAUAGUUUUGCAUAUAAAGUAAAAGGUGUUUUGUUUGUUAUAACAUUAUAUAAAAAUACCAUUAGUGAAUACACCAAUCUAUUUUUUACUUUAAACCAUGAGAGUAUAACGGUGGUAGCCGCCCUAACUCAAAUACUAUUUUAAAGAAGGAAAAAAAAACCUUCGGGCGCCAGACAGGAUUAAACCUGUCAAAAAUUAACUUAACCCAGGAUAGCAGAAAAAUAACCACCUGUUACACAACAAAUUAUAAUAAAAAUCUCAGACUAAAGGUCAUCAGGAUAUUUAUUCUGCCAUAUGUUCAAAAUCAUAAUAACACAGAAAACCGAAAUGGAAAACAAACAAAUAAAUAAAAUAAAACAAAAUAAGCAAUGACCACACGUUCCCACUAGCGGUCUCUGGCCUUCGAAAUCCGUGCCCGUGCCAGAAACCGACCACGUCACGCUAAUCCACGUUCGCAGAUUCGUGUCCACAUUCAUUCACAAAAAUGUCCAUAAAAAUAAAGGAAAAGAGAGAACAAAGAAAACAUUGGAUGAACAUCUUAUUAGGUUAAAUCAACAGCAUCAAUAAUUUUAACGGGCAACAAAAAUUGUUAACAACACACUAAGCACACAAAAUGUGCGAAUAUGAAAGCUAUGCGAGUGGGUGCGUGCGUGUGUUGCAGUGUGUGUAAUGGCGGCGCAAAGGUACUGACCACGUUUGCAGGACUGCUCAUGACAGUUGGUCUGGAAGUGCAAUGCUUCAGUCACGCACCAGACAUCAUAACCAUGGAACAGCGGAUUGACACGCAGCCGUCUUUCCACCGUAAACCAUCUCUCAUACGGACAACCCUCAUGUGCAAACAAACGAAUGACGCCUCUCUUUCAGGUACGAUACGCUCCCUUUAAAUACAACUCCCUUCCGCCGUUAAUUGACACACUCCACCCAAAAUCACGCUAAAAUGAAAGUGAAAGUAGAAAAGAUUCUUUUGUUUGCCACACUCUCCCCCCCUAGAAGAAAACAACCUAUGGUUGUUUAGGAGAGAGAAAUCGCAGACUAAAAUCCUAGAAAAUCUUCGUCAUCAGAGGAUUCUUGAAAUAUAUCCAGGAGUUUUUUCUUUUCUUGUAUCUCCAGUUCCGCUGCCGUUGGAUAACACAUUUUUAUGUUGCAAACAUGUGCUGUAC
Cyprinus carpio (common carp) is the source of this 1360-nucleotide long non-coding RNA. The record is from Ensembl. NCBI's taxonomy places the organism in Eukaryota, Metazoa, Chordata, Actinopteri, Cypriniformes, Cyprinidae.